GGAUUUUUCUUUAUUCCUCUUUCCGAGAUUAAGGUUACGCGAAAUCCAUUUGGAUUGAUUUGUUGGAUUCAUUCUCAACUUCAGUUGGAUUUGGAGAAAAGCAAGGAUGGAUUGCUUGUAU
Long non-coding RNA from Papaver somniferum (opium poppy), 121 nucleotides. RefSeq lists it as uncharacterized. Lineage: Eukaryota; Viridiplantae; Streptophyta; Magnoliopsida; Ranunculales; Papaveraceae. The record is from RefSeq and is a predicted model, not a curated record. The transcript is spliced from 3 exons.